GUCGUAACAAGGUUUCCGUAGGUGAACCUGCGGAAGGAUCAUUAACACUAAUCCAAUCAACUCAACGAAGCCUUUAGUUGCAGCAGUGGUCUUUCGGGAUAGCUGCUGUAGCAUCUUACAAAACUAAAUCAACAAAAGUUAUCUAACUAAGUAACCAAACAAAAACCAAAUUCUCAACGGUGGAUGUCUUGGUUCCCACAACGAUGAAGAACGCAGCGAAGUGCGAUAAGCAGUGCGAAUUGCAGAACCGUGAGUCAUCAGAUUUUUGAACGCAACUGGCGCCUUAUGGGGCAACCCAUAGGCACGCCUGGUCCAGUGUCUUGUUCUCUCCUCACCAAAAUCUUAAUGCGAUAGAUACCCUUCUAUUGCUAAACAUGAAAGCACUCUGCGCUCUGCGAGUGACCUUCGGGUCACACUCGAUGCGGCAGUCACAUUUUCUAAUGUGAACUCAUUGAGAGUAGAGGCAGUGCAGCGCAAGCUGCCAGUGCUUAGACACACCAACUUAGGUACAGUAUCUGGGCUCAGGUGGGACCACCCGCUGAACUUAAGCAUAUCACUAAGCGGAGGAAAAGGAACUAACUAGGAUGGCCUCAGUAAUGGCGAAUGAAGCGGCCAGAGCCCAAGAUGGUAAUCUCCGUCUCUCAGGCGGCGAAUUGUAAUCUUGAGAUGCUAAACUCAAUUGGUGGUGUCGUAGAAGUGCCCUGGAACGGGCCGCCAAAGAGGGUGACAGCCCCGUACGUGACGACGCCGCCUAACGAGUUGGUAUUCAAAGAGUCGGGUUGUUUUGUAUUGCAGCCCUAAGCGGGAGAUAAACUUCUUCUAAGGCUAAAUAUAUGUGGGAAACCGAUAGCGAACAAGUACUGUGAAGGAAAGAUGAAAAGCACUUUGGAAAGAGAGUCAAAAGACCUGAAACCGUUGAGGAGGAAGCGGUAGAGAUGAAUUCUACGGCGAUGCGCGGGGAAGACGAUCUAAGCACGGCGGAGGUAUGUCACGUCAAAGGGCUGCUUUUGUCUCAAGCGGAAAUCGUUCACUUGCGCGGCGUCGUGAGGCAGGAUGGAGUGACGUGAUCACAAAGGCCUGGUUGAUCUGGGGGCCCUCGGGUUCCAAUCCUCCGGUGCCGGUGGCUGCGUGGCUUGAGAGUGCUUUGUGCGAUCCUGUCAAAAUGGUCUUUACCGACUCGUCUUGAAACACGAACCAAGGAGUCUAACGUACACGCGAGUAUGCCAGUGGAGAAACUGACAUGCGCAAUGAAGGUGAGUGAUGCCAAGCGCAAGCAGCAGCAUCGACCGACCAUGAUUCUUAAUGAAAGGUUUGAGUACGAGCGUGUCCGCUAGGACCCGAAAGAUGGUGAACUAUGCGUGA
This 1362-nucleotide ribosomal RNA is filed under the name Stylonychia lemnae. Its description in RNAcentral is "eukaryotic LSU rRNA". The stretch from base 512 to 1362 matches the Rfam family "Eukaryotic large subunit ribosomal RNA", at positions 1 to 840 of the family's 3401-position model. The record is from RNAcentral. Lineage: Eukaryota; Ciliophora; Spirotrichea; Sporadotrichida; Oxytrichidae.